CGAUCAGCCACACUGGGACUGAGACACGGCCCAGACUCCUACGGGAGGCAGCAGUGGGGAAUCUUGCGCAAUGGGCGAAAGCCUGACGCAGCGACGCCGCGUGGGGGAUGAAGGCCUUCGGGUUGUAAACCCCUUUCAGCAGGGACGAAGCGAAAGUGACGGUACCUGCAGAAGAAGCGCCGGCUAACUACGUGCCAGCAGCCGCGGUAAUACGUAGGGCGCGAGCGUUGUCCGGAAUUAUUGGGCGUAAAGAGCUCGUAGGCGGCCUGUCGCGUCCGCUGUGAAAUCCCGGGGCUUAACCCCGGGCCUGCAGUGGAUACGGGCUGGCUGGAGGCAGGCAGGGGAGAACGGAAUUCCUGGUGUAGCGGUGAAAUGCGCAGAUAUCACGAGGAACACCAGUGGCGAAGGCGGUGGUCUGGGCCGGUACUGACGCUGAGGAGCGAAAGCGUGGGGAGCGAACAGGAUUAGAUACCCUGGUAGUCCACGCCGUAAACGUUGGGCACUAGGUGUGGGACCCUAUCGACGGGUUCCGUGCCGCAGCUAACGCAUUAAGUGCCCCGCCUGGGAGUACGGCCGCAAGGCUAAA
Molecule: ribosomal RNA, 586 nt
Filed under: uncultured soil bacterium
Lineage: Bacteria
Description: bacterial SSU rRNA
Rfam family: Bacterial small subunit ribosomal RNA
Source: RNAcentral